This 402-nucleotide ribosomal RNA is filed under the name uncultured bacterium. RNAcentral's name for it is "bacterial SSU rRNA". It matches the Rfam family "Bacterial small subunit ribosomal RNA", at positions 29 to 431 of the family's 1533-position model. The record is from RNAcentral.
AUUGAACGCUGGCGGCGUGCUUAACACAUGCAAGUCGUGCGGUAACAGGCGUAGCAAUACGUGCUGACGAGCGGCGAACGGGUGCGUAAUACAUGGGAAUCUGCCCUUUAGUGGGGAAUAACCCGGCGAAAGCCGGGCUAAUGCCGCAUAAGAUCUUCGGAUGAAAGCGGGGGAUCGUAAGACCUCGCGCUGAUGGAUGAGCCCAUGUCGGAUUAGCUAGUGGUGAGGUAACGGCUCACCAAGGCGACGAUCCGUAGCUGGUCUGAGAGGACGGCCAGCCACACUGGGACUGAGACACGGCCCAGACUCCUACGGGAGGCAGCAGUGGGGAAUAUUGGACAAUGGGCGAAAGCCUGAUCCAGCGACGCCGCGUGUGUGAAGAAGGCCUGCGGGUUGUAAAGC